CAGUCGCCGCGGUAAUACGAAGGGUGCAAGCGUUAAUCGGAAUUACUGGGCGUAAAGGGCUCGCAGGCGGUUUCUUAAGUCUGAUGUGAAAGCCCCCGGCUCAACCGGGGAGGGUCAUUGGAAACUGGGAAACUUGAGUGCAGAAGAGGAGAGUGGAAUUCCACGUGUAGCGGUGAAAUGCGUAGAGAUGUGGAGGAACACCAGUGGCGAAGGCGACUCUCUGGUCUGUAACUGACGCUGAGGAGCGAAAGCGUGGGGAGCGAACAGGAUUAGAGACCCCCGUAGUCCCUGUCUCUUAUAU
Molecule: ribosomal RNA, 301 nt
Filed under: uncultured bacterium
Lineage: Bacteria
Description: partial 16S ribosomal RNA
Rfam family: Bacterial small subunit ribosomal RNA
Source: RNAcentral